RNAcentral lists this ribosomal RNA (300 nucleotides) under Triticum aestivum (bread wheat). RNAcentral describes it as "partial small subunit ribosomal RNA". The record is from RNAcentral. Lineage: Eukaryota; Viridiplantae; Streptophyta; Magnoliopsida; Poales; Poaceae.
AUGUUCGAGUAUCUAAAUGUUGUCAGCAAGAUGUUUGAUAGUGAGGCUGAAGGCUAUGAAUUCUACAACAAAUAUGCUCUUGAAAAAGGUUUUAGUGUGAGGAAAAGCUACGUUGAGUGGGAUGGAUCCAACAAAUACAUAAUUUUAAGGAAAAUUGUGUGUAGUCGUCAAGGGCUCUUUUUUGACAUGGGUUGCGUAAUAUUUGGACAGGGACGACCGGAUGAGGGUGGGAGGUGGGCGCGAGGAGGCUAUUUCUCAGGGAAUGAGGAGGAGCAUGGCGUGUGGGAAGUGGGAGAUUAA